RNAcentral lists this long non-coding RNA (4553 nucleotides) under Bemisia tabaci. RNAcentral's name for it is "lncRNA ENSSSA1UGG002393". Lineage: Eukaryota; Metazoa; Arthropoda; Insecta; Hemiptera; Aleyrodidae. The record is from RNAcentral.
CAUAAUUUUCGUGUCAUUUAACCUCUAAAAAGUCUAUUCGCACGGCUGUAUCUCUUGCAUGCAACAGGCCCAUUGGAGCGCCAGGCGGACCCAUUCAGUGUUGCCUCUCACAGCAUAAAAACCCGGCGAAGACAACACAAAAGCACCGAUUCGGGAGCGCUGGUUCCAUUUAAUACAAAAUUUACGGUACUCUCGACGGGGAUCAGCGAAGAAAUUCGAGUGGGCUGUAAAAUUUUGCGCCUAAAAAGAUAAGCGGGAGCGGCUCCUCGCGGGAUCGGAUCGGGCGACGGGAUAAGCUUGACAACCCGAAAUAUCACCACGUGACCGGCUUUCGAUCCCGUAUCUCAAGUUUUACGAUAUUGAAGUUCCCCUUAAAAGUGGUCGGAUUACGGCUACCUUAUGCAAAGUCUGAGAGUCUUGAUUUUGAUUCCGGUCGAGUCUGCAAGGUGGAGUUUCCGAGAGGGUGAGGAAAUUACAGUCGAGAUGCUGCGAGGAGUUCUUGCAAUAGUGCUGCUGGUGGCUUGCUUCCCGAAGGACUCGACAGCAGGCAGUGAUGAUGGUAGCCCGGUACCUGGAUUCAGCUUCGUAGGCACUGGCACUCCCAGGGUAGCUAUGAGCGCUCCCAGCGGAAUGCUGUUCUUCGAAGAUAUACGGAACACUACUGCUUGGCAGCCAACAUUCAGCAACGAUCCCGUUUCGAUUUAUCAGGAAUUAUUCUUACUGAACGCGUUUGUGUUGUACCCAAAUACGACGGUAAGCGUGGACCUCGCUGAGAAGAUUGGGUCGGUCACGGCCAGGCUCAGCUCCAACAGCUUCAAGGCCACCCUCACCGCCACCGACGAUUCCAGCAACAACAGCUCCUGCCUACUGAAUACCCUGAUUGAUGUGCAAGCCCUGGGUGUGGAUCUGGAUCCACAGGAGUUAGCUAUUGUGGGUGCAGUGCGUCAGACGAUUUUAAGUGUUUCGGAUGUCUUAGUGGCAACUUUAGUCAAAUCUCUGCGGGAAAUUCUCCCGGAAAUCUUCACCAACAAGAUCACCGACGACCUCGGCCUGGAGGCCUUUUGUCGGACCCUCCUUGCAAGCAACUUUACUUCCCAUCCGGAACCACUAAUCUAGCCGCCAGACUUGCCACUCACUGUAAUAUAGUGGCCAUUUUUGAAAGUUGGCAAUGCUGGACUUCGCCCAUUUAAAUUAAUUAAAGUAAGACAUUCAUAGACAAUGUAUUUUGAAGAACAUAUACUGGAUUGUGGACAUAAUGGCUCAUCUGAUUUUCGUAAUGUCUCCUCCCUGACUAAUGCAUGGGUGUCAGUCAAUGUUGUUAUCAUGCUACGGACUGGGAGGGAUGCUGUGACUCUAAAUGAGUGUGAUUUUUUAUAAAGUGAAACAAAUUCUGGACUGAUGAUUGACUCAAAAGAAGGACAAUAAUUACAGAGCUAUUAAAACUUUGAAUUCAGUCGUUUCGAAGAUCGAGAUUGUGAUGUGUCGCAUUUCUUCCUCGAGAGGAUGGUUGGCGUUUCACUUUCCUACGGGUCGAAAUGGUAGAUUUUAUUUUAUUUGUACAAGAGGUAUAUUAUGUACAACGAAGUUUUUAGAUGCAAGUAGCAUCUUUGAAAAACUUAAAUUUAGCUUAUAAGAUAGACUUAUAUUAUGUUACAAACAUUUUAAUCUAUACAAUACAAACAAAAAAACAACCUCUAAACAUUGAGGAUAGAAAAAAUAAAAACAAUUUUUCUUCAUAGUAAAAAUGUUUUUUUGCUUUAACUUGAAAAAGCGGAUGACCGAGCCCGGUCAAAAACCCAAGAACCCCUGACUGCGUCCGAAAAGCACAAGGAGGCCCAUUGAUUUACAAGAAGGAGAAUUUUGAGAACCCCCGAAUUCCAAGCUCGUGGGGUUUGCGAUGUUUUAAUCUGCGGGUACAUUGGUCCAUCUCCAGGAACGCAAGCGCUUCUGGAUUGGGAUGCCUAUGUGACCUACCUUCAUAAGAGUUAUACAUUUUUGUUAUGUAGUCUUCUACAGAGUCAAUGUUGAGAUCGGCGCAAAUAUCUGCGUUUCUCUCAUACCAUCUGGCUUUUGAAAUGCCUCGUAAUAUUUUCAUUUGCAUGACUUCUAUCUUUUUUAGAUUUGACUUGGCUGCACAGCCCCGCAACUGGCAGCCAUAACUCCAAACCGGUCUCAACAUUGACUUGCAGAGGAGCAAUUUUGUUUCUAGGGAUAACUUGGAUUUGCGGCCAAUCAGCCAUUGCAUAUCAUGAAAUUGAAGUCUUAAUUGUUCGACUUUUUUCUUUAUGUGCGCGCACCCCACUUGAGCCUGGAAUCCAGGUGGACGCCGAGAUAACGGGCGACUGUGUCGCGAGGAAUUUCAGAGUUUCCCAAAUGAAGAGGAAUAUGAGUAAAAGGCCUGUUGGUAAAUACAAUUUCUACCGAUUUAGACGCAUUUAGUUUGGUCUUAUCUUUGCUUGUCCAUUUAUUAAUUCUGUUUAGAUGGGAUUGAGCGUUAAAACGUGGCUCCCUGUAGCUUUUCGAUGCUGGUAACACAAGCGUAUCAUCGGCAUACACUCCCAAUUUCCCCCCUCUCCCAGACUGCGGGAUGUCUGUGGUGAAAAGGGAAAAGAGAAGGGGGAAAAGACAGGAACCCCGCAGAACCCCUGCCUUUAUUGGUCUGAAACUUGAGGUUGUAUUUUCAUAACGCACUCUAAACUGUCUACCGGAUAAAAAGGAAGACAGGAGUUCCACAUGAUUACAUGGGAGCAUUUUGUAAAGUUUUUCGAUGAGGCGCUCGUGCCAGUCACGGUCAAAUGCCUGCGCAACAUCAAGAAAAACCGCCACACGGUAUUCUCUCUUUUCUAAGGAGUGUUCUAUAAAUUUAGUUAUUCUACGGAGUUGGUCAAUUGUAGAAUGUUUCGCUCGGAAACCGAAUUGGACGCCGAUUAUUAGAUUUUGUUUGCCAACUAUCUCGUUCAAUCUUUUGAUGUACAGUUUUUCAAAGAGUUUGCCGAUAACAGGCAACAACGAAAUUGGCCUGUAAGAUGCAGCUUCUGAAGGAAGUUUGUCUGGUUUUAAGAGGACGAAAAUUUCCGAUAUUUCAUUGAGAAGGAAUAUAUUUGCAUCUGAUGACAGCAUUAAAGAUUGAAACUUUCAUUAUUGCUCUGUUAGGCAGGUUUUUCAAAAUCAGUCCUCACAUUUUGUCGAAUCCAGGGUCUUUUUUGCCUUAAUUUUACCCUUUAUCUCUUUAAUAAUAUCUGAGGGAGAUAAGGAUUUUAUUUUUACUGGUGGGAUUUUCUUGAUUUUUCGGGGUUUCAAUGUGGACAUCUCCCCCCCAUUCCGCAAAUCUGAGUCUAAACUGUUGGCGGAAAAAUCCGAAUCAGAUAGUGUUUCUAGAUCUUUGUGCGGUUGAAAAGCAGCUUCAAGAUGGUCAGCUAGAAUCUCUGCUUCUUCAGCAUCGGUAUUAGCCCAUGUUUUGUCUGGUUUGCUGGUUAGGAAUUUUAACUGUUUUCGCCUUUUGAAAUAUUUUGUGGCUGCCCAAAGUGAAUAGUUUUUAUCUGCUGUUGGUGAUAAAGAGUUUAUAAAUUUUUCAAAUUUGUAAUUUAGAAAAUCUUGUGUUCUUUUUUUAACAAUUGAGUUCAGUCUGUUGAAUUUUGAGUUAUCUUCUGGAUAGUGAGUGAAAUUAGCUGCUCUUUUGGCUUUCCUUUUUACACGAAUAAGCUUAAGAAGUUCUUUAGGAAUUGCGUAAGGUUUUAUGUUGUUAACGGCUACAGGUAUAUUGGUUACAGCACAAGUUCUGAUAUUUUCUAUCAACAGUUUCGUCUCUCCGUCAAUAUCUAUCGGAGUGAGGACUGGAACGCUAUUGUCAAUAAGGUUUUCUAAGUCUGAUCUGAAUUUUUUCCAAUCUGUUCCUUUAGAGCAGAUUGUAGGAGGACGAUUUUCGAGGAUUGGAGUUGUGAAAAUCUCCAAGAUGACUUUUGCAUGACCUUUUUCCAUGGACAUUAGAGUAUCGCAUGAAACGUGAUCAAUGAGAUUUAUGUUUUUGAAAAUAAAGAAAUCUAUUAGAUCAGGUCAGGUGGUUUGGAUUGGAGGGGGAAUUUGUCGGUUUUCCGGAAGGAGGAAAUUUCUGGCCAGCCCAUGAGUAGAGACUUUCUACUCAUGGGUCGGCCGAGGAUGGAGCUUUAGGCGCCGAAACGCGUUUCGGCGAAACGCGUCCCUUAAUUAAUUAUACCGCAAGUGACAACACGAAAAAAUGUUCAUCAUUUCUGUUAUACUUGAACGAUCUCUUGAGUAUUUAUUCUUUUCAGAGGAGCAGGGCUCAUGAGAGUUUUACAAAACUAAAAUGAAGACUUUGCAAAGAGUUUAAUUAAUAAAAUCGAAGACUCAGGGCUGCCACAGAAUUGAAAAAAUGAGAUUCCCUGGCAUAUCCCUGAUUUUUCCGUCACAUUUUGGUGCAAUUCCCUGACUAUGGAGGACAUGCCAGAUGCUUAUAAGAAUACAUGAUUUGAAAUGGUUUUCGGGCACCAUUUGUUGUUCGAAACGUCAAACCCAUUCUAGAAAGGAGAUAACUG